CCUACGGGAGGCAGCAGUAAGGAAUAUUGGACAAUGCCCGCAAGGGUGAUCCAGCCAUGCCGCGUGCAGGAAGACGGCCCUAUGGGUUGUAAACUGCUUUUAUACAAGAGAAAACCUCCCUACGUGUAGGGAGCUGAUAGUAUUGUAGGAAUAAGCAUCGGCUAACUUCGUGCCAGCAGCCGCGGUAAGACGAAGGAUGCAAGCGUUAUCCGGAUUCAUUGGGUUUAAAGGGAGCGUAGGCGGUCUUAUAAGUCAGUGGUGAAAGCUUCUCGCUUAACGAGGAAAUUGCCAUUGAUACUGUAGGACUUGAGUACAGUUGCUGUGGGCGGAAUAUGACAUGUAGUGGUGAAAUACAUAGAGAUGUCAUAGAACACCGAUUGCGAAGGCAGCUCACAAAACUGUAACUGACGCUGAGGCUCGAAAGUGCGGGGAUCAAACAGGAUUAGAUACCCUGGUAGUCCGCACUGUAAACGAUGAUUACUCGCUGCUAGAGGGCAACUUUUAGUGGCUUAGCGAAAGCGAUAAGUAAUCCACCUGGGGAGUACGCCGGCAACGGUGAAACUCAAAGGAAUUGACGGCGNGAGAGNGCGAGGACGACGACGAGGGAGGAG
This 611-nucleotide ribosomal RNA is filed under the name uncultured bacterium. RNAcentral describes it as "bacterial SSU rRNA". It matches the Rfam family "Bacterial small subunit ribosomal RNA", at positions 338 to 950 of the family's 1533-position model. The record is from RNAcentral.